RNAcentral lists this long non-coding RNA (631 nucleotides) under Mus caroli (Ryukyu mouse). RNAcentral describes it as "lncRNA (MGP_CAROLIEiJ_G0006354.1)". The record is from RNAcentral. Lineage: Eukaryota; Metazoa; Chordata; Mammalia; Rodentia; Muridae.
AGGACAAUGCAGGGUCCAGUAAGGAGAGCUUGAAUUCACAGCAAAAACACUGUGUCUGCCUAGGUUUAGGCUGUUUUCUGGGAUAGACACUACGUGAAAUUCAACAUGUAUGCUUAAUAACCAUGGCAGUUCUGAAGGGAGCAGAAUCCAUUACAGGGGGAAGGAUUUAAAACCAGAAAAGAAAUGCUGAAAAUAGAGCAAGAGUAAUGUCAAAGUAGCUUUCUACAACAUGGAACACAAAAGAUCUACUACUACCACCAUGAAGAAAAACAAGUAAACAGGUAUUCUGUUCCUGAAAACACCAGACCCCAAAAGAGGAGAUCUCAGGCAUUUCUUGAUCCUGAAGAAGUACAAUCCCAAAGAAUGUAGGCUUGAACCAAUCCCUCACCCUGAAAAAAACCCAGGUCAAAAAAAAAAAAAAAGAAGAGAUGUAGGCCAGGGUUAGUUCCUCAUCUUAAAGCACCCAGGGCCCAAAUGAAGAGGAAUGUGUGCCUGGGCCAUUCCCUGAUCCUGAAGAGGCUCUGGCCCAAAGCAAGGUAUGAUAUGGGCCUGUGCCUAUUCCUAAAUCUGAAGAGGCCUAGGCCCAAAGAAGAAGAAAUGUGGGCCUGAGCCAAUCCCUGACCCUGAAGAA